AAAAAACAUUUUUAAUAAAAAAAUUUAAAAGUCCAAAAUGUAGUUCAAGUUGAUUUAAGUUCUUUUUUUUUUUUUUUGUUUUUAGCUUGUUUUGGUUUGUCGUUCAAGCCGGCCCUAGGAAUAUCUAGGGCAGCCGAAGGGCAGUAUGUUAUAGAAGUUGUAAAUACUGGACAUGUCUCCAGACACAGUUAAUAUUUGUUCCUACCAGUAAAAGCGUAUUAUGUCA
Long non-coding RNA from Drosophila novamexicana, 226 nucleotides. RefSeq lists it as uncharacterized. Lineage: Eukaryota; Metazoa; Arthropoda; Insecta; Diptera; Drosophilidae. The record is from RefSeq and is a predicted model, not a curated record. The transcript is spliced from 3 exons.